UUGAAUCACAGCUGAUAUCUAUAUUAUUAUCACAGAUAUCUGUGGGUUGAAUGGAUUCGGGAUUGUACCACAGAAUAAUUAUUUUAUACUAUGAUUAUACUUCGUCACUGCGAUAGCAGCUUUUUAUCGGACGAACGGAUGCAUGAUAUGAUACAUUUGAUUUAAUUGAACGGUUGUACAUCGAACGAAAAUCUGAAACUAUCUCCACUCAUUGAACUCCAUAUGGUAACUUUUAGAGGUUCAAUGGCUCCAUCACGACUCACGAGUCACUAUAUUGUCACAUCAAGUCGCGCACGUGAAGGUGUGAAACAUAAACACGAAUGGGUACAACUUACACUGUAGAGUGUGCAGAUUGGCAUAUUAUAAUAAUGUGUCAAAACUGAGUUUACACGAUGCCCUAAACUCACACAAAAGAAGCUCUUAAUUCAGGAUGAUUAUAAAAAAUAUUUUUAAUGGCACCAAUAAGGAAAACA
This is a long non-coding RNA of Metopolophium dirhodum (rose-grain aphid), 473 nucleotides long. RefSeq lists it as uncharacterized. The record is from RefSeq and is a predicted model, not a curated record. NCBI's taxonomy places the organism in Eukaryota, Metazoa, Arthropoda, Insecta, Hemiptera, Aphididae. The transcript has 3 exons.